GAUGAAGAACGUAGCGAAAUGCGAUAAGUGAUGUGAAUUGCAGAAUUCAGUGAAUCAUCGAAUCUUUGAACGCACCUUGCGCUCUUUGGUAUUCCGAAGAGCAUGCCUGUUUGACUGUCAUGAAAAUAUCAACCUUGACUUGGGUUUUGUGCUCUAGUCUCGGCUUGGAAUUGGGUGCUUGCCGCUUUUACGAGCGGCUCACCUUAAAUGUAUUAGCUGGAUCUGUCUUUGAGACUUGGUUUGACUUGGCGUAAUAAGUAUUUCGCUAAGGACAUUCUUCGGAGUGGCCUCGUUUCUAGGACGCUUGUCCGCUUUCCAAUACAAGUUCCACCUCGUGGACAUGACUUUUUAUUAUCUGGCCUCAAAUCAGGUAGGACUACCCGCUGAACUUAAGCAUAUCAAUAAGCGGAGGA
Molecule: unclassified non-coding RNA, 413 nt
Filed under: soil metagenome
Description: partial contains 5.8S ribosomal RNA, internal transcribed spacer 2, and large subunit ribosomal RNA
Rfam family: 5.8S ribosomal RNA (bases 1-120)
Source: RNAcentral